AUAAAGGCGUACGGUGGAAUGCCUAGGCAAUAGAAGGCGAUGAAGGACGUGGUAAGACUGCGAUAAGCUUCGGGGAGCUGCAUACAAGCGAUAUCCGAAGAUUUUCCGAAUUGGACAACCUAGUACACUGAGAGUGUAUUACUCGAAAGAGAGCCAACCCGGAGAACUGAAACAUCUAAGUAACCGGAGGAAAAGAAAAAACAAAAUGAAUUCCCUAAGUAGUGGCGAGCGAACGGGGAAGAGCCCAAACAGAGUUGCUGCUCUUUGGGGUUGUAGGACUGCAUUUAGAUAUCGUUAUCAAAUUGAAUCAUCUGGAAAGUUGAGCCAUAGUAAGGUGAAAGCCCUGUAGAUAGGAAAUUAACGAGGACGGAGCAGUAUCCUGAGUAGUGCGGGACCAGAGAAAUCCUGUAUGAAUCUGCCCGGUACGUCAUCCGGUAAGGCUAAAUACUAACUAUUGACCCGAUAGUGUACCAGUAGCCGUAAAGGAAGGUUGAAAAGUACUCCGAAUAGGAGAGUGAAAUAGUACCUGAAACCGUGCGCUUUACAAGCGGUCGGAGGGAGUAAUCCAUGACGGCCCGUGCCUUUUGCAUAAUGAACCAUACGAGUUGCUCCUCACUGGCGAGGUUAAGUUCUUAAGUAACGGAGCCGUAGCCGGAAAGCGAGUCCAAAUAGGGCGCUUAGUCAGUGGGGGCAGACGCGAAACUUUGUGAUCUAUCCAUGGCAGUUGAAGGUGUGGUAACACACACUGGGGAACCGAACCAUUAGAAGCGGUUGGAAAAGCUAUAGGUUGACCGUGUGGAUAGGUGAUAAGGCCAAUCAAACUGAGAGAUAAGCUCGUUCUCCCCGAAAUGUAUUUAGGUACAGCGUCACAUAUAAGAAGUUUAUGAUGAGGUAGAGCUAACUGAUUCGGCCUAGGGGGCUUCACCGCCUCAAAAACCCUGACGAUGAACUCCGAAUUGCCUCAAUUGAAAAUAAACUCGUGGCGAUGGAAGCAGGUGGGGCGAUAAGGAGGUCCAACUUGGGCCGAGAGGGAAGGAUAAACCCAGACCUAUCAAUUGAGGCCCGCACUGAAAGUCUUAUGUGUAAGGUUGAACAGAAGCGCGAUUUCGAGGAAGUCUAAGAUCAGCCAGGAAUGUUUGGCUGGAAUCAGCACCAAUUCAUUUAAAGGAGUGCGUAACGAUCACUGUCGAGGUUAGGGCUCUGGAAAAUAUCGGGCAAUCAAACAUAAAGUGCCGGGGAAAUUGUGAGAAUAAAAGGCGCAAGAGCUGAAUUGGUAGGGAGCAUUCCAUCAAACAGCGUCGAAUGGUGUGUUGUAAAGCAUGCUGGAACGUUGGAAAAGAAAUGUAGGUUAAAGUAAACGAUAAACAAUAGUAACCUUGUCGCCGAAAGACUAAGGUUUCCUGAUCAUGCUAAUCAGAUCAGGGUUAGUCUGGUACUUAGGCGAAGCCGAAAGGGUGCAGAGAGCUGAUGUCAAGUUGGUUAAUAUUCCAAACACUUGUAAAUAACUUCGAAGAUGGAGUAACGGGGAAGUGAAAGGUCCGCGAUCUUACGACAAAAUAGAUCGUUAAAGGGUGUAGAUAUAGGUUGAAGUAGGCAAAUCCGCUCGACUUGUCGACACUGAUUAUACUAAAAGGCUUUCGGCUGGAUAGAUAGUGAACCCUAAUCAUGCUCACGGAGAAAAACUUCUAAGUUAUGGUUAUUAACAACCCGUACCGGAAAGCCGACACAGGUAGUCGAGAUGAUAUUCUAAGGCGCUCGGUGAGCCGCCGGAGAAGGAACUAGGCAAAUUAACGCCUGUAACUUCGGGAUACAGCGUACCACAGCGAUGUGGUCACAGUAAAAUGGUGCACCACUGUUUAGCCAAAAACACAGGGCCUGGCAAAAUCGAAGAGAUGACGUAUAGAGCCCUGAUACCUGCCCGGUGCUGGAAGGUUAAGGAAGCUUGUUCGAGUCAAAUCAAAGCUGUGGACCGAAGCCCAGAGUAAAACGGCGGCCGUAACUAUAACGGUCCUAAAGGUAGCGAAAUUCCUUGUCGGGUAAGGUUCCGACCUGCACGAAUGGUCUAAUGAGUUUGCACCAGCUGUCUCCUCCGCGAGCCCGGUUGAAAUUGUAGUAUCGGUGAAGAUGCCGGUUACCCGCCACGGGACGAAAAGCCCCGUGAACCUUCACUACAACGUUACAUUGAUUUUGAAGUAACAGAUGUGUAGCAUAGUUGGGAGACUGCGAAGCAGGCACUCCAGUGUUUGUGGAGUCACCGUUGAAAUACCAAAGCUUCUCUGUUGCUUAGAGUCUAAUCGCUACGGCGAGAACAUUGUAUAGUGGGUAGUUUGACUGGGUGGUCGCCUCCUAAAAGUAAACGGAGGCUCGCAAAGGUGCCCUCAUUACGGUUGUAAUCGUACGUAGAGCGUAUUAGUAUAAGGAGCUUUGACUGUGAGACUGAACCAGUCGAGCAGGGACGAAAGUCGGCUAAAGUGAUCCGGUGGUUCUGUAUGGAAGGGCCAUCGCUCAAAGGAAAAGGUACUCCGGGGAUAACAGGCUGAUCUUCCCCAAGAGCUCAUAUCGACGGGAGGUUUGGCACCUCGAUGUCGGUUUCGUCACAUCCUGGGCUGGAGAAGGUCCCAAGGGUUGGCUGUUCGCCCAUUAAAGUGGCACGACACGUGAACUGGGUUCAGAACGUCGCAAGACAGUUCGGUCUCUAUCUGUGGUGGGCCCGUUAGUAAAUGCGAGGACAUGCUCUUAGUACGAGAGGACCGGAGUUGUAUGUACCGCUGGUGUAUCUGUUUUGUGCCGCCAGGCGCAGUGCAGAGUAGCUAUGUACAGUCAAGAUAAGCGCUGAAAGCAAUCUAAGCGCGAAACUUUCCUCAAGAUGAGUUUACUUUUAAGUGCCGUCUUAAAGGACUAUUGACGUUAAUAGGCUAUAGUGUGUAAAGGUUUCUAACAUCAAAGCGAGUAGUACUAAUUGCACGUAAGCUUUAACU
Molecule: ribosomal RNA, 2978 nt
Filed under: Eriocheir sinensis (Chinese mitten crab)
Lineage: Eukaryota; Metazoa; Arthropoda; Malacostraca; Decapoda; Varunidae
Description: bacterial LSU rRNA
Rfam family: Bacterial large subunit ribosomal RNA
Source: RNAcentral